Molecule: long non-coding RNA, 407 nt
Organism: Temnothorax curvispinosus
Lineage: Eukaryota; Metazoa; Arthropoda; Insecta; Hymenoptera; Formicidae
Exons: 2
Source: RefSeq, a predicted model, not a curated record
UAUUUACCAUUCAGUGCUGGUCCACGUAACUGCAUCGGUCAACGAUUUGCUAUGCUGGAAAUGAAGGCGAUGAUAGCUCCUUUGGUACACAAUUUUUACUUGGAGCCCAUUGAUUAUUUAAAGAACCUUCAGCCGAAGCUUGAUUUGGUAAUUCGCGUUGAUCAACUUCGUAUAAAAUUCAUCUCUGUCUGUAAAAUUAAUUUACGCCUUUGAAGCAAAUACCGAGUUAAUGAACAUCGUAAAAGACAAAGAAAAGGUUAUUAUUCUAUUAACUUACAAAGUGAUUGUCAAUAGCGUCGUAAUAGUAACACUUUGCACACGUGUCAUUAUCGGUCACAACAUUGAAAUAUAAAUGAAAUGUAACAAAUAUAUAAAAUAUAUAUUAAAUAAACAAUUAUUUUACUAUA